This 819-nucleotide ribosomal RNA is filed under the name uncultured eukaryote. RNAcentral's name for it is "SSU rRNA". It matches the Rfam family "Eukaryotic small subunit ribosomal RNA", at positions 629 to 1426 of the family's 1831-position model. The record is from RNAcentral.
CGGUGUUUAACUGGCGUGAUGUGGGACGUCCUACCGGUGGGCUUAGCCUCGCGAGGGGCGGCCCAACUAAUAUCCCGUCGCGGUGCUCUUUACUGAGUGUCGAGUCGGGCCGGUACGUUUACUUUGAACAAAUUAGAGUGCUUAAAGCAGGCUAUCCUCGCCUGAAUACUGCGUGCAUGGAAUAAUGGAAUAGGACCUCGGUUCUAUUUUGUUGGUUUUCGGAACCCCGAGGUAAUGAUUAAUAGGGACAGAUGGGGGCAUUCGUAUUGCGACGUUAGAGGUGAAAUUCUUGGAUCGUCGCAAGACGGACAGAAGCGAAAGCAUUUGCCAAAAAUGUUUUCAUUAAUCAAGAACGAAAGUUAGAGGUUCGAAGGCGAUCAGAUACCGCCCUAGUUCUAACCAUAAACGAUGCCAGCUAGCGAUCCGCCGAAGUUCCUCCGAUGACUCGGCGGGCAGCUUCCGGGAAACCAAAGCUUUUGGGUUCCGGGGGAAGUAUGGUUGCAAAGCUGAAGCUUAAAGGAAUUGACGGAAGGGCACCACCAGGAGUGGAGCCUGCGGCUUAAUUUGACUCAACACGGGAAACCUCACCAGGCCCAGACACCGGAAGGAUUGACAGAUUGAUAGCUCUUUCUUGAUUCGGUGGGUGGUGGUGCAUGGCCGUUCUUAGUUGGUGGAGCGAUUUGUCUGGUUAAUUCCGAUAACGAACGAGACUCUAGCCUGCUAAAUAGGCGUACCUUAUGGUAUCGCGAAGGCCCCCGGCUUCGGCCGGUGGGUUUUUACUACCAACGUACAAACAAAUCUUCUUAGAGGGACAGGCGG